GACGAACGCUGGCGGCGUGCUUAACACAUGCAAGUCGAAGGGGAAAGUUUUCUUCGGAGAAUGAGUAUACUGGCGCACGGGUGAGUAAUCUGUAAGUAAUCUACCCAAGGGUAUAGAAUAACUCAGAGAAAUCUGGGCUAAUACUGUAUAAUGCAGCGGCAUCGCAUGGUGAUGUUGUUAAAGCUAUUUAUAGCGCCUUUGGAUGAGCUUGCAUCUGAUUAGCUAGUUGGUAAGGUAAAAGCUUACCAAGGCUACGAUCAGUAGCUGGUCUGAGAGGAUGAUCAGCCACACUGGAACUGAGACACGGUCCAG
This 312-nucleotide ribosomal RNA is filed under the name uncultured bacterium. Its description in RNAcentral is "bacterial SSU rRNA". It matches the Rfam family "Bacterial small subunit ribosomal RNA", at positions 28 to 334 of the family's 1533-position model. The record is from RNAcentral.